GGGGAAUUAGCUCUAAUGGCAGAGCGCUCGCUUAGCAUGCGAGAGGUAGUGGGAUCGACGCCCACAUUCUCCA
Non-coding RNA from Tetraodon nigroviridis (spotted green pufferfish), 73 nucleotides. Lineage: Eukaryota; Metazoa; Chordata; Actinopteri; Tetraodontiformes; Tetraodontidae. The record is from Rfam.